GUCCACGCUGUAAACGAUGUGCACUAGGCGUGGGGCCCGUACGGGUUCUGUGCCGUAGUUAACGUGUUAAGUGCACCGCCUGGGGAGUAUGCUCGCAAGGGUGAAACUCAAAGGAAUUGACGGGGGCCCGCACAAGCGGUGGAGCAUGUGGUUUAAUUCGAUGGUACACGAGGAACCUUACCAGGGCUUGACAUGUGCGUGAAUGUUCACGAGAGUGGGCAGCCCGCAAGGGCGCGCACAUAGGUGCUGCAUGGCUGUCGU
RNAcentral lists this ribosomal RNA (261 nucleotides) under uncultured bacterium. Its description in RNAcentral is "partial 16S ribosomal RNA". It matches the Rfam family "Bacterial small subunit ribosomal RNA", at positions 793 to 1055 of the family's 1533-position model. The record is from RNAcentral.